This 171-nucleotide unclassified non-coding RNA is filed under the name uncultured Fusarium. RNAcentral's name for it is "sequence contains ITS2". The record is from RNAcentral. Lineage: Eukaryota; Fungi; Ascomycota; Sordariomycetes; Hypocreales; Nectriaceae.
CAACCCUCAGGCCCCCGGGCCUGGCGUUGGGGAUCGGCGGAGCCCCCCGUGGGCACACGCCGUCCCUCAAAUACAGUGGCGGUCCCGCCGCAGCUUCCAUCGCGUAGUAGCUAACACCUCGCGACUGGAGAGCGGCGCGGCCACGCCGUAAAACACCCAACUCUUCUGAAG